UUCAUGCAGUGAGAAAAAGAAAACAUAGGUCUCAGUAAGGGGUAUUAGAUCAUUGGUGUGGGACUUGAGGAACAGGUUGUGAUUUUAAACAAGAUGGUACACAUGAAUGACAUUUAGCAGAUGGCAUUUGAGCAAACACUUGCUCAAAGGGAGAUAGCCAUUAUAGCUGAUGGAACAAGCAACACCAAAGUCAUAAGGAAGAAUUGUACUCGUGUGUUUGAAGACAUCAAGGAAUCCAGUGUGACAGACAUAGCAAGUGAGGGGAGGGUAUGAGAGGAAUGGGGUGGGAGGCACAGUGGGAAGCCAGGGCAUUUAAGAUAUUGAGGACUUUGGGCUUCAUGCAGCAUAACUGAGUGUAUUUAUAAGAGAAUUCUCAUUGAAUGUUCCCAUUACACCAUGCACUGAGGUAAGCACUUUUUUUAUAUUUCUCUGUGAUUUUUUUUCGUUAGUCUUCAUAAGAACCCUAUGUAUAAAAUAGUAUUAUUAAUGUCUAUAUUUUAUUAACAAGCAUGUUUAGUCCUAAAGAAGUCGAUGAACUCACCCAAGGUCACAUAGAUGGUAAACGAUGAGAACUGUAUCUCGGCUUUCUGACACGUGUCUGUUUGGUCAUAGCAUUAUCUUGAGUCCAAGUUGAAUGGCUUCUAUUUGAUUUUGUAAUGUCAAGUUACCUGAAAUGAUGUAGACAUGCAAUUCAAACUUCCACUGCUGUGCAAAGACUUAAUUCUUGCUAUGGUCUGAAUGUUUCCAUUCCACUCAAAUUAAUGUUAUACUGCUGACCCCCAAAGUUAUGGUAUUAGGAGCUGGGGAAUGUGGGGAGGUGAUGAAGUCACUGGGCAGAGUCAUCAUGUGUAAGAUUAGUGCCCUUUUAAAAGAGGCCUAAAAAAGACUCCUGCUCACCUCUUUCACCAUGUGAGGGCACAGCAAGAAGGUGCAAUCAGUGAACCAGAAAGUGAGCACUCAUGAGGCAUAGAAUCUGCCAGUGCCUUGAUCUGGGACUUCCCAGCAUCCAGGGCUGUAUGAAAGUUCUGUGGUCUGUAAGCCAUCCAGUUUAUGGUAUUUUGUUAUAGCAGCCCAAAUGCUAUAUGGACUUAGCCUCUAUGGACUAAGAUAAUUGGUAAGAGGUCUUCACACUUUCUCAGCUACCAGAAAGUACAUUUGAAUUCAACUGAGAAAAUCUAUUUAGUCAUGGUUUUGCCACGUUACCCCCACCCAACAAACAUUUUUUAUGUUUUCGUGUUGCAAGUUGGGUUCUCGGAGAGGCCUUUGGGGUCAAUCCCUGUGAAAAGGAGGGAAGAGAAGGGGGAAUAGGCAGAAGAGGAGUGAGCUGUGAUGGAGGCCAACUGAUGGCCUCAGCUGAUCUCACCAGAAGCUUGGCAAUCUGGUGGCUCUCAGCAAAACCUUAUUCCCUUACAUCAAUCCAUCACUGGUUGUGGGCCUCUGAAGGAGUAUUGAGGCACAACACCUUACAGCAUCCACCACUAUCUAUAGCAUCAAAAUGCUUUCUGAUUACUUGAGUUGCCCUGGGUGCUACAAGGGAAAUACAAGCAGACUCUAAGUGUGGUUUCACUGAUGUUGAGAUAGCUUCCUUUCAUGGAAAAAGAGGCAAAAACCUUGACAUUUACCCUAUUUCCCCUUUUGGUGUACAGAAAUGCAUUUGGUGUGGAUCUAUAAAUUUAAAGCUAAUAAGAUUUCUAUUCUAAUGCUGCUAUAACUGAUAAUCUAAAAAGAUUCUCGAAUGAUUUUUGUGGUGAGGAUAACCUAGAUUUGUGAAGCUCCACAUAUCGGUUUGUGAGUGUGUAUGUGUUUUAAAGCUAUACUAGAAAUAGAGAAGAGAUACCAUAAGGAAAUGUAUCACGUUUCCCAAUGUUUCUUUCUCAUGCAUGCUCACUUCUUCCUUUUGCUUUCAUCGUCGCUGAGGGUUAUUUGCUGGCGGGACAAUAGUCCCCAUAUCAAAGGGCUUGGUCGGUCAACUUGCCAAGCUAAGCUGCUGCUGACAGAUGAGUGAUGGAAAGAUGUACUGUUGUAUCUGUCAGCUUUGAUGAGAAAAAAAUGGAGCUUAGCUUAGAAUCACUCUCAUUUCCAGAUUUUUAUUUUUAUUGUUAUUUUUUUUCCUGAAAAGAGGAGGGAUUUUUUUUCUGCAUUAUGUAGGUCUCUUUUUCAAUGCUCCCAGGUAAACCAGUCUCAAAGCACAAAGACUGAAAUUCCUCUACGUUCCACAGUUUGUAGGCAAAGAAUUUAGAAUGUGUCUCAUCACCACUUUAUUCUUCUCAUCACCUAGAAAAGUGACUAGCAGAAUCCCCACUUGGUUUAUAAUAAAAGAAAGCAACAAUUUCAUCUAUGAAUUAGCAUACUAGUAUGAAUGUGCACUCUUGAAAAUAUAUGUGCUAUUUUGUAUAGUCUUGUUUCCUGAGAGAGCAGUGACUUGCAUUUUUAUAUAAACACGCUGAAUGUUACGUGUGUUUAGAAAAAUUUAGCAUACAUAUUUCCAGAAUACUGAAAAUCUGACAAACCCUUGUGCCCUCCGGUCGUUACCCAACGUUCCUUCUCUCAGAACUGCCUAUUAAAAAUCCUGCAGAUUGUCUCCCAUCCCUUAUUAAAUGUGCAGGAAAUAAACCUAACUGCUAAGUGUAUGAAGGUCUUGAAAACCAUACUCUGCUGGCCAUUGUCAUUGACAUUAAACUCCCUAAACUAUUUGAAAACAAGGACAUUCAAGUUAACCUUACUUCAUUAUUUAUCACUUCAGAAGGCAACAUGGAUUCUCCAAUCUCUGAGAUUUUUAGGAGAUAAGAGCUUCCAGAACCUUAUCACUCAAUCAUAGAAUCAAAGAAUGUGCUCAGCUAAGACACAUUGAUUGACAAACCCUUUAUGCACAUGAGUGACAAUGUCAGCUUUCAGGAAGCAGAGAAAAGAUGAAGAAAAACAAAAUCUCUAGAUGACUCACAAUUAACUAGGAAAAAUUUUCUGGACAUACAGAGUUCAUAGGUACCUUGGGAGGAGUUUCUAAUGUUUGCCCGUUAAUUAAAGCAUUCAUUUAUUUAAUAAUCACACAUUUAUUGAAUGCCUAUGGGGCUCCAGGAUUUAAAGAUACAGAGCUUAAAAACUCAGACCUUGCCUCUGCUAUAGGGAUUUACAGAAAAAGAAAUGAAUUUAUAAUGCAAUAGAACGAAGGCAUCCCUGGAAGUAUGCUCAGGAAUAUGGAAGGAUAUGGGCUGGAAACCAAACCCAAAUUAGCAGACAUGGGGGAAGAUGUUUUGGUUUUUCUCCACGAAUUCCACAUGACUUCAAAUAAGCUUGAAAUAUGAGUAUGAAUAAGCCAGGAGGCCCAGGAACAGGGAUUGGUGAAGUGGUAGUGAUGGUGGGUUGGGGUUACAUAAACGAGAGAAAGGACAGCACAUUCGGAGCCACCAAGGGGCAGGAUUGAGAAACUGCAAGCAAUUCAAGAUGGCGGGAAUAGAACUGAUGAGGCUAGAAAUAAAGAGGUUGAUCUACAGGAGGAAGACAAGGGCCAGAUGGAGGCCUUAUAAGCCCUGCUGAGGAAUUUGAACUUUAUCAUGAAGGCAACAGGGACCCACUGAAGGAAUGUAAGACACUUGAGGGCAGGAAUGGAACUGUCUUCUUCACUAUUUCAAGGGCUAGGAAGAGGAGUGACAUUGAGAAGAGACUGAAUAAAAAGUUGUUAAAUGAAGGAAUGGAUUUAAAAGCACCCUGAUCUGCAGUGUACCUGAAACAGCAUAUACUUCAUAUCACAACUGCAGUAUCUUCAUCCUUGCUCAUGUUUUUUUUCCACUGCACUAAAAUGCUUCUUUAAAUAGAAGAAUCAAAAUAGUAAGAUUCAAUGAUAAGCAGAUACUAUUUUGAAAUUUUAUUUUGAUUAGAAAUGGAUUGCAGUAAUAUUUUUACUUUCUGUGGAAUGGUUAUGUACAUAAUAAAUACUCUGCCUG
This is a long non-coding RNA of Macaca mulatta (Rhesus monkey), 3941 nucleotides long. RefSeq lists it as uncharacterized. The record is from RefSeq and is a predicted model, not a curated record. NCBI's taxonomy places the organism in Eukaryota, Metazoa, Chordata, Mammalia, Primates, Cercopithecidae.